This is a long non-coding RNA of Camelus dromedarius (Arabian camel), 984 nucleotides long. RefSeq lists it as uncharacterized. Lineage: Eukaryota; Metazoa; Chordata; Mammalia; Artiodactyla; Camelidae. The transcript has 3 exons. The record is from RefSeq and is a predicted model, not a curated record.
UUCCUUUGCAACCACAUCACUUACCUCCUCCUGGCCCCAACCGCAUGAAUUCCCCUGAAAUGUCACCAGCUCCCUGAGACUCUGGCUGCCUAAGUGCCCAGAAUGCCAACCCUCGCCCCGACUCUCCUGUUCCCACCAGCCUGGCAGAUGCCUACUCAGAUUUCAAGACUCAGUUUACGUUGCUCCCCCGAGAAGUCUUUUCUGUCUCCCCAAGAGGCAACCAGGCCUUCCACCAGCUGCUUCUUUGAGAACCUGAAGACUUGAAUGAAGUCAUUCAUGGUUUGCCUGCCAUACAGAGCUGAGAGGGCCAACUCCACCAAAUCUACCUCCCCUAAGGACCAUCUGGGCCCUCACACACUCACCUCCUGACCACACCUGCACGGGGCCUCCAUCCUGGGUCCCACCAAACACAGUUGCUGCCCACCUACUUGUUGUUUCCACCUUUACUGACAGCUCUACAGGGAGCGCUCCAAGACGACAACUGUCUGGCUUUGACUGCAGCUUUACUCUCAUCUCCCACAUCUUGAUACUUACUAGCCAUAAUAAGAACAAUCAUACGGUGAUAUCUCACCUCUGGAUGAUGCAAGUUCAACACAGCACUCUCACGUGCGUUAUUUCAUUUGAGCCUCACCUAGGAAGUAGGCGUGACACAUGUUCCCCAUGUGACAAACGAAGAAACUAAGGCUCAAAUAGACUACCAGCUUCACAGCCUGCACGUGGUAAAACAGGAAUGAAACUGCAGAAUUUCUCAGUCCCCUUUCAGUGCUUUCUAUGUAACAGCUCCUUGUUUACACAGUGUUACUUCUUUCGUAUUAUCAUGUCUUCUUGGCUACGUGCCUUCAUCUUUUUACUCAACUGGUAAAAGUAAUAAUAAUAAAUGACAGUACAUUAAGACGAGGACUCCAUCUUCUCAUGUGACUGAAGCUUUGUUCUCAGACUGAAGCACUACCACUUUUAUUAUAACUUUGGCUCUUUUAUGCCUUG